RNAcentral lists this ribosomal RNA (463 nucleotides) under uncultured bacterium. RNAcentral describes it as "bacterial SSU rRNA". It matches the Rfam family "Bacterial small subunit ribosomal RNA", at positions 329 to 793 of the family's 1533-position model. The record is from RNAcentral.
UGCCAGACUCCUACGGGAGGCAGCAGUGGGGAAUAUUGCACAAUGGGGGGAACCCUGAUGCAGCGACGCCGCGUGGGUGAAGGAGCACCUCGGUGCGUAAAGCCCUAUCGGCAGGGAAGAAAAGCGAACAGGUUCGCCUGGACGGUACCUGACUAAGAAGCCCCGGCUAACUACGUGCCAGCAGCCGCGGUAAUACGUAGGGGGCAAGCGUUAUCCGGAUUUACUGGGUGUAAAGGGAGCGUAGACGGCGAAGAAAGUCUGAAGUGAAAGCCCGCGGCUCAACCGCGGAACUGCUUUGGAAACUUUUUUGCUGGAGUACCGGAGAGGUAAGCGGAAUUCCUAGUGUAGCGGUGAAAUGCGUAGAUAUCAGGAGGAACACCGGUGGCGAAGGCGGCCUGCUGGACUGCGACUGACGUUGAGGCCCGAAAGCGUGGGGAGCAAACAGGAUUAGAUACCCCCGUAU